CGGGUGAGUAACGCGUGGGUAACCUGCCUCAUACAGGGGGAUAACAGUUAGAAAUGACUGCUAAUACCGCAUAAGCGCACAGUGCUGCAUGGCACAGUGUGAAAAACUCCGGUGGUAUGAGAUGGACCCGCGUCUGAUUAGGUAGUUGGUGGGGUAACGGCCUACCAAGCCGACGAUCAGUAGCCGACCUGAGAGGGUGACCGGCCACAUUGGGACUGAGACACGGCCAA
Molecule: ribosomal RNA, 230 nt
Filed under: uncultured bacterium
Lineage: Bacteria
Description: partial 16S ribosomal RNA
Rfam family: Bacterial small subunit ribosomal RNA
Source: RNAcentral